UACGGGGGGGGCAAGCGUUGUUCGGAAUUACUGGGCGUAAAGUGCUCGUAGGUUGCCAACUAAGUCAGACGUGAAAUCCCUCGGCUUAACCGGGGAACUGCGUCUGAUACUGGAUGGCUUGAGUGUGGGAGAGGGAUGCGGAAUUCCAGGUGUAGCGGUGAAAUGCGUAGAUAUCUGGAGGAACACCGGUGGCGAAGGCGGCAUCCUGGACCGAUACUGACGCUGAGGAGCGAAAGCCAGGGGAGCAAACGGG
Molecule: ribosomal RNA, 253 nt
Filed under: uncultured bacterium
Lineage: Bacteria
Description: partial 16S ribosomal RNA
Rfam family: Bacterial small subunit ribosomal RNA
Source: RNAcentral